Molecule: transfer RNA, 72 nt
Filed under: Ovis aries (sheep)
Lineage: Eukaryota; Metazoa; Chordata; Mammalia; Artiodactyla; Bovidae
Rfam family: tRNA
About the family: Transfer RNA (tRNA) molecules are approximately 80 nucleotides in length. Their secondary structure includes four short double-helical elements and three loops (D, anti-codon, and T loops).
Source: Rfam by way of RNAcentral
UCUCUGGUGCUCCAGUGGCUAGGACUCUGCAUUCCCAAUUCAGGGGCUCAAGUUCAAUCCCUGGUCAGAGAA